Molecule: ribosomal RNA, 465 nt
Filed under: uncultured bacterium
Lineage: Bacteria
Description: partial 16S ribosomal RNA
Rfam family: Bacterial small subunit ribosomal RNA
Source: RNAcentral
GACGAACGCUGGCGGCGUGCUUAACGCAUGCAAGUCGAACGGAAAGGCCCUGCUUGCAGGGUACUCUAGUGGCGAACGGGUGAGUAACACGUGGGCGAUCUGCCCUGCACUUCGGGAUAAGCCUGGGAAACUGGGUCUAAUACCGGAUAGGAGCCACUUUUACUUUGAUGGUUGUAAAGUUUUUUCGGUGUGGGAUGAGCCCGCGGCCUAUCAGCUUGUUGGUGGGGUAAGGGCCUACCAAGGCGGCGACGGGGAGCCGGCCUGGGAGGGUGGACGGCCACAUUGGGACUGAGAUACGGGCCAGACUCCUACGGGAGGCAGGAGGGGGGAAUAUUGCACAAUGGGCGCAAGCCUGAUGCAGCGACGCCGCGUGGGGGAUGACGGGCUUCGGGUUGUAAACUCCUUUCGCUAGGGACGAAGCUUAUUGUGACGGUACCUAGAUAAGAAGCACCGGCUAACUACGUG